This 253-nucleotide ribosomal RNA is filed under the name uncultured bacterium. Its description in RNAcentral is "partial 16S ribosomal RNA". It matches the Rfam family "Bacterial small subunit ribosomal RNA", at positions 524 to 776 of the family's 1533-position model. The record is from RNAcentral.
UACGUAGGGGGCAAGCGUUGUCCGGAAUCAUUGGGCGUAAAGAGCGUGUAGGCGGUCUGGUAAGUCCGCUGUGAAAGUCCAGGGCUCAACCCUGGGAUGGCGGUGGAUACUGUCGGGCUCGAGUCCGGAAGAGGAGUGUGGAAUUCCUGGUGUAGCGGUGAAAUGCGCAGAUAUCAGGAGGAACACCAAUGGCGAAGGCAGCACUCUGGGACGGGACUGACACUGAGACGCGAAAGCGUGGGGAGCAAACAGG